GAAAGAAAACAUUUCUCGUCGAGCUUUUGAUGUCCUUUGCGUCGGUUCUUCAAGAAAGUAAUUUAUUUACCCGGAUUGGAACCAAGGAACAUUGUAUGUAAGGAUAAUAUAUUUAGGCUAUGUUUCCAACUAUGUUAGUGUCGUGUGCUCAAUUAAGAAACUAUAAUUCAAGGAGCGAAGCUUGGGUGUCAAGAAAAGAACCCACGCUAAAG
This 212-nucleotide long non-coding RNA is filed under the name Elaeis guineensis (African oil palm). RNAcentral's name for it is "long non-coding RNA (EGUI_LNC015308)". The record is from RNAcentral. Lineage: Eukaryota; Viridiplantae; Streptophyta; Magnoliopsida; Arecales; Arecaceae.